GAUGAACGCUGGCGGCGUGCCUAAUACAUGCAAGUCGAGCGAACAGACGAGGAGCUUGCUCCUCUGACGUUAGCGGCGGACGGGUGAGUAACACGUGGAUAACCUACCUAUAAGACUGGGAUAACUUCGGGAAACCGGAGCUAAUACCGGAUAAUAUAUUGAACCGCAUGGUUCAAUAGUGAAAGACGGUUUUGCUGUCACUUAUAGAUGGAUCCGCGCCGCAUUAGCUAGUUGGUAAGGUAACGGCUUACCAAGGCAACGAUGCGUAGCCGACCUGAGAGGGGGGACGGCCCACCCUGGAAUUGGACCCGGGCCCAGCCCCCCCCGGGAGGCGCCAGUGGGCAUUUUUCGGCAAGGGCCGAACGCCUUACGGCGCCACCCCGCGGGAAGAAUGAGGGUUUUGGGUUCGUAAACCCUUUUUAUUGGGGAAAAAAAAAUUUGUAAUAAACUCUGCCCUUCUUGACGGUCCCUAAUAGAAAACCCCCGCCAAACUCCGUC
Molecule: ribosomal RNA, 498 nt
Filed under: uncultured bacterium
Lineage: Bacteria
Description: partial 16S ribosomal RNA
Rfam family: Bacterial small subunit ribosomal RNA
Source: RNAcentral